RNAcentral lists this ribosomal RNA (253 nucleotides) under uncultured bacterium. RNAcentral's name for it is "partial 16S ribosomal RNA". It matches the Rfam family "Bacterial small subunit ribosomal RNA", at positions 524 to 776 of the family's 1533-position model. The record is from RNAcentral.
UACGUAGGCAGCAAGCGUUGUUCGGAGUUACUGGGCGUAAAGGGUGCGUAGGCGGCUUUUUAAGUUUGGUGUGAAAUCUCCCGGCUCAACUGGGAGGGUGCGACGAAUACUGAGAAGCUAGAGUGUGGGAGAGGAAAGUGGAAUUCCUGGUGUAGCGGUGAAAUGCGUAGAUAUCAGGAGGAACACCGGUGGUGUAAACGGCUUUCUGGACCAUAACUGACGCUGAUGCGCGAAAGCUAGGGGAGCAAACAGG